RNAcentral lists this long non-coding RNA (620 nucleotides) under Lepisosteus oculatus (spotted gar). RNAcentral's name for it is "lncRNA (ENSLOCG00000022766.1)". Lineage: Eukaryota; Metazoa; Chordata; Actinopteri; Semionotiformes; Lepisosteidae. The record is from RNAcentral.
GAUCAACUGCGUUAGAUGAGCACUGAGCGCUGUCGCAAAGCCGAAGGCGCGUUCAGCCCUUCACUACUCUUCGGACUGGAGCAAUGGAUCUUAGAAAAAAGGGGGCUCGAGGAGGGACAGCCCACAGAGGAUGGGAGUGACGUGUCUAACCAACCCCCCCAGGCUCCUUCUCUGACCACCCGCCUCUCGGAUGCAGCUGCGAAGGCCCUGUGACGUGCGGACCGUGCCGGAGGUGACGGGGUCAGGGAAAGUCUCGAGCUGCACUGGGGAGGGGGUUACGCGCCCUUCAGUUUGGAUCUCUAGGGAGUUUUGGGGGCAGUCCUGUUUUCUAAGGAAAAACACGUUCUAGGCAACUUUUUUUAUUUUCACUCAAGAUAAACAUUUUUUUUUCCCCAAAUAAAGAUGGUAAACUUCAUGACAUUUUUAAUCAAGUAAAACACAAUGCCAAGCUCCCAUCUUCAUUAUUUUCACAUUCUCCCGUAAUGCGAUAAUACGCUAUAUGUGUCAUUAAAAUUUAGAAACAUGUCUGAACUUCAAAAUAUUAACUGGAAUUUUUAGUCUGUGAUAAUGUGUUUUAGUUGCACUUCAAUUGCCUGUUUCGGUACUUAAAAGCAUGAAAU